Molecule: ribosomal RNA, 515 nt
Filed under: Tarachina sp. MN140
Lineage: Eukaryota; Metazoa; Arthropoda; Insecta; Mantodea; Chroicopteridae
Description: partial 16S ribosomal RNA
Rfam family: Bacterial large subunit ribosomal RNA
Source: RNAcentral
GGUUUCUUGUUUUUUUUUGAGAAAUUUGACCUGCCCACUGGUUGUUAAUUUGAAGGGCCGCAGUAUUUUGACUGUGCAAAGGUAGCAUAAUCAUUAGUCUUUUAAUUGGGGACUGGAAUGAAUGGUUGGACGAGGUAAUAACUGUUUCGUAUUGAAUAGGUUGAAUUUAGAUUUUAAGUUAAAAGACUUAAAUGAUGUUAAGGGACGAGAAGACCCUAUAGAGUUUAAUAUAUUUAAUUAUAAUUAUGUUGUGGCGGAAUUUUUAAUUUUUGUGAUUUAUAUUUAAUUGGGGUGAUUGAAAGAUAAUAAAAACUUUUUUUUGAAUUGAAUAUUAUUUUUAGUGUGAAGGAUCCGUAUUUUACGAUUGUAAGAUUAAAUUACCUUAGGGAUAACAGCAUGAUUUUUUUUGAGAGUUCUUAUUGAAAGGAAGGAUUGUGACCUCGAUGUUGGAUUAAGAUGAAUAGUAGGUGUAGGUGCUUAUUAUGUUAGGUCUGUUCGACCUUUAAAAUCUUACA